GGGCCUGUGGGAAGGAGCUGUGGGAGCGGGAGCCGUGAGACGGGGCUGGGGGAGUAGCUGGGGCGCACCUGCCAGAGGAUUCAGCUCCGGGUGUGAGAAAGAGUUGGGGAGGAACUAGGGCAGUGAGCGGGAAGGAGCAGGACGGAGCCGGCGGCAAUGUUGCGGAGGAGGUGCUCUGCCAAGAGCAGGCGUCCAGUCGGCGCCGCAGCGGUGUGAACAACGCGGCUGCCCCAGCGACCUCAGCGACCUCGGGUGACUCUCAGAAUGGACCCCGAGAAUACGGAGGCCGGGAGGGGCGGCGGGGACGUGUCGGGUGAGAAGAGAAAUUCUCCUGUGUUUCCUGCUGCGCCUCUAACCUGACCUGUGCCAGAUGAAGCCAACGGCCCUGUCGGUGCUGUUUCCUAUCCUCUACCUCCCAGUCAGGGGCUCCACACACUCAGUGUUGUGUCGCUUUGCUCCUUGGGUUUCCUUACCCUCACCCUCCUUCCGCAGUUGCUUGGUGACCGAGUCCUGUGUCCCUGCCUCUCACAUGCCUGAUCAGAAUAAAUUCUCCUCUUGCUGUC
This is a long non-coding RNA of Canis lupus familiaris (dog), 563 nucleotides long. RefSeq lists it as uncharacterized. Lineage: Eukaryota; Metazoa; Chordata; Mammalia; Carnivora; Canidae. The record is from RefSeq and is a predicted model, not a curated record. The transcript has 3 exons.